RNAcentral lists this unclassified non-coding RNA (190 nucleotides) under uncultured Cortinarius. Its description in RNAcentral is "sequence contains ITS2". The record is from RNAcentral. Lineage: Eukaryota; Fungi; Basidiomycota; Agaricomycetes; Agaricales; Cortinariaceae.
AUAUAUAUCAACCUUCUCUCUUGUAGUGAGUGGUUUGGAUGUGGGGGUUUGCUGGCCUCUUUUAAAAAAGGGUUCAGCUCUCCUGAAAUGCAUUAGCAGAACAACCUGUUCAUUGGUGUGAUAACUAUCUGCGCCAUUGAAUGUGAGGGGCAGUUCAGCUUUCUAACAGUCCUUGGACAAUUCAUUAUUA